GACGAACGCUGGCGGCGUGCUUAACACAUGCAAGUCGAACGGAAAGGCCCUGCUUUUGUGGGGUGCUCGAGUGGCGAACGGGUGAGUAACACGUGAGUAACCUGCCCCUGACUUUGGGAUAACUUCAGGAAACUGGGGCUAAUACCGGAUAGGAGCUCCUGCUGCAUGGUGGGGGUUGGAAAGUUUCGGCGGUUGGGGAUGGACUCGCGGCUUAUCAGCUUGUUGGUGGGGUAGUGGCUUACCAAGGCUUUGACGGGUAGCCGGCCUGAGAGGGUGACCGGCCACAUUGGGCCUGAGAUACGGCCCAGACUCCUACGGGAGGCAGCAGUGGGGAAUAUUGCACAAUGGGCGGAAGCCUGAUGCAGCAACGCCGCGUGCGGGAUGACGGCCUUCGGGUUGUAAACCGCUUUCGCCUGUGACGAAGCGUGAGUGACGGUAAUGGGUAAAGAAGCACCGGCUAACUACGUG
RNAcentral lists this ribosomal RNA (468 nucleotides) under uncultured bacterium. RNAcentral's name for it is "partial 16S ribosomal RNA". It matches the Rfam family "Bacterial small subunit ribosomal RNA", at positions 28 to 507 of the family's 1533-position model. The record is from RNAcentral.